UACGUAGGGGCAAGCGUUGUCCGGAAUCACUGGGCGUAAAGCGCAUGUAGGCGGGAUAUUAAGUCAGGUGUGAAAACUAUGGGCUCAACCUGUAGAUUGCAUCUGAAACUGGUAUUCUUGAGUAUUGGAGAGGAAAGUGGAAUUCCUAGUGUAGCGGUGAAAUGCGUAGAUAUUAGGAUGAACACCAGUGGCGAAGGCGACUUUCUGGCCAAAAACUGACGCUGAGAUGCGAAAGCGUGGGGAGCAAACAGGAUUAGA
RNAcentral lists this ribosomal RNA (258 nucleotides) under uncultured prokaryote. RNAcentral's name for it is "partial 16S ribosomal RNA". It matches the Rfam family "Bacterial small subunit ribosomal RNA", at positions 524 to 782 of the family's 1533-position model. The record is from RNAcentral.